GACGAACGCUGGCGGCGUGCUUAACACAUGCAAGUCGUGGGCACCAGCAAUGGUGACCGGCGAACGGGUGCGUAACACGUGAGCGACCUACCGAUUUGUGGGGGAUAGCCGGCCCAACGGCCGGGUAAUACCGCAUACGCCGAGCUUGCCGCAUGGCUUGCUCGGGAAACCUCCGGGGCGAAAUCGAGGGGCUCGCGGCCUAUCAGCUAGUUGGCGAGGUAAUGGCUCACCAAGGCGACGACGGGUAGCUGGUCUGAGAGGAUGGCCAGCCACAUUGGGACUGAGAAACGGCCCAGACUCCUACGGGAGGCAGCAGUGGGGAAUCUUGCACAAUGGCCGAAAGGCUGACGCAGCGACGCCGCGUGUGGGAUGAAGCUCUUCGGGGGUGUAAACCACUGUUGCCCGGGACGAACGGCGAGAUUUAUCUCGCGUGACGGUACCGGGUGAGGAAGCACCGGCUAACUCCGUGCCAGCAGCCGCGGUAAU
This 486-nucleotide ribosomal RNA is filed under the name uncultured bacterium. Its description in RNAcentral is "bacterial SSU rRNA". It matches the Rfam family "Bacterial small subunit ribosomal RNA", at positions 28 to 524 of the family's 1533-position model. The record is from RNAcentral.